GGGCUCUUAGCUUAGUUGGUAGAGUGCCUGCUUUGCACGCAGGAGGUCAGGGGUUCGACUCCCCUAGAGUCCA
RNAcentral lists this transfer RNA (73 nucleotides) under Candidatus Peribacteria bacterium. RNAcentral describes it as "tRNA-Ala". It matches the Rfam family "tRNA". From Rfam's summary of the family: Transfer RNA (tRNA) molecules are approximately 80 nucleotides in length. Their secondary structure includes four short double-helical elements and three loops (D, anti-codon, and T loops). Further hydrogen bonds mediate the characteristic L-shaped molecular structure. tRNAs have two regions of fundamental functional importance: the anti-codon, which is responsible for specific mRNA codon recognition, and the 3' end, to which the tRNAs corresponding amino acid is attached (by aminoacyl-tRNA synthetases). tRNAs cope with the degeneracy of the genetic code in two manners: having more than one tRNA (with a specific anti-codon) for a particular amino acid; and 'wobble' base-pairing, i.e. permitting non-standard base-pairing at the 3rd anti-codon position. Lineage: Bacteria; Candidatus Peregrinibacteriota; Candidatus Peribacteria. The record is from RNAcentral.